UCCCUGCUGUGCUGGUGUAAAAGUUGUGUUUUUUGAGCCAACAUUUUGUGAAUGGGAUUGAUAAGCUGCCGUGGUGUGCAGGCCUUCUCCGGAAGGAAGCCUAAAGCGGUAUACGGAUAUCCCACCUGUCCUUGACAGGUUCAAAAAAAGGUUUUUGCACGGUGCUGCGGGGAA
Molecule: non-coding RNA, 174 nt
Filed under: marine eukaryotic metagenome
Description: 6S / SsrS RNA
Rfam family: 6S / SsrS RNA
About the family: E. coli 6S RNA was the first non coding RNA to be sequenced, but its function was unknown until recently. It consists of 184 nucleotides that fold into an extended hairpin structure with a large single-stranded internal bulge.
Source: RNAcentral